This 776-nucleotide ribosomal RNA is filed under the name uncultured Neocallimastigales. RNAcentral's name for it is "partial large subunit ribosomal RNA". It matches the Rfam family "Eukaryotic large subunit ribosomal RNA", at positions 24 to 643 of the family's 3401-position model. Lineage: Eukaryota; Fungi; Neocallimastigomycota; Neocallimastigomycetes; Neocallimastigales. The record is from RNAcentral.
CAUCACUACGCUAGAUGCAUAUCAAUAAGCGGAGGAAAGAAACUAACAAGGAUUCCCCUAGUAACGGCGAGUGAAGCGGGAAGAGCUCAAAUUUGAAAUCUUAAAGGGUUUCCCUUUACGAAUUGCUAGUUUAAAGAGGUGUUUUCUGUUGGAGUUUCGGUAAAAGUUCUUUGGAAUAGGACAUCAUAGAGGGUGAGAAUCCCGUAUUUGACCAUUUACUUUCCAGCUGUGUGAUACACUUUCAAAGAGUCGGAUUGUUUGGGAAUGCAGUCCAAGAUGGGUGGUAAAUUUCAUCUAAAGCUAAAUAUUGGCGAGAGACCGAUAGCGAACAAGUACCGUGAGGGAAAGAUGAAAAGAACUUUGAAAAGAGAGUUAAACAGUACGUGAAAUUGUCAAAAGGGAAGCGUUUGACACCAGUGUUGUUUAGUUGAAAAUCAAUUCAAUAGUUUUUGAUUCUAAGUAGUAUUGACUUCAUCAGCUUGCUGCUUUCUUCUCAGAAAUUAUUGAAUGCACUUUUCAGUUAACAAGUCAACAUCAAUUUCUUUUGUUGUAAAAGGGUAAGAGGAAGGUGGCUUGCGCUUCGGCUCAAGUGUUUAUAGCCUUUUAUCUCUGCAAUCGGAGAGAUUGAGGUCUGCAGCGUAGAUCCUUCGGGGUUAGAUACAUUGGUGCUAAGCUAUAGCCUUGUAUAGACAACUUGUUGACUAUGCUCAGUCAUGUAGCUUACUCGUAGAUGCUAUUUUACCUACGCUUAGGAUGUUGACACACGCGCGUGCUCG